AAGGUUCACAGCAAACGGAUCAGUAAAGGCAUUAUCAGGAAAAUGCAAGGAAAAACAGAACAACAGUGGAAAUCACAGUAUUAAUCUCAUGGAAAUGGCAGGAGUCAAGGCAUAAGGCAAAAUUCAUCAUGAUGGUCAUGGUGAUUAGAGAGCUCCCCCAUAAGGAUACGCAGACAAUUCCUCAACUGCAGCUCCCUAAGUUUUCUCCUGAUUUCUUUCUGGCUGGUGGCCUUCGCCCCCUCCCAAAGGGCGGUCUUCCUCUCCGUUCUGCACGGGUUGCUCCAUUUCUUCGUUUUCCUGGCCUAUCCUUGCUGUCUCUUGCUCCUUCUGAUCCUCGCCACGAGUGCGCCGCCGCCACACUUGGUUCGGCAGACCUGCAAAGGGCCAGGGUGGGGACAGGAGGCUGCUGCAGCCGGGCGCUUGGCGCCUUCCCGACCCCGCGUCCCCUACUCCCACCAAC
RNAcentral lists this long non-coding RNA (460 nucleotides) under Bos grunniens (domestic yak). RNAcentral's name for it is "lncRNA (ENSBGRG00000023145.1)". Lineage: Eukaryota; Metazoa; Chordata; Mammalia; Artiodactyla; Bovidae. The record is from RNAcentral.